UACGUAGGCAGCGAGCGUUGUUCGGAAUUACUGGGCGUAAAGAGUGUGUAGGCGGUGCUCUAAGUUCGGUGUGAAAUCUCCUGGCUUAACUGGGAGGGUGCGCCGGAAACUGGAGUGCUCGAGGGUGGGAGAGGAAAGCGGAAUUCCUGGUGUAGCGGUGAAAUGCGUAGAUAUCAGGAGGAACACCUGCGGUGUAGACGGCUUUCUGGACCAUUACUGACGCUGAGACACGAAAGCGUGGGUAGCAAACAGG
RNAcentral lists this ribosomal RNA (253 nucleotides) under uncultured bacterium. RNAcentral describes it as "partial 16S ribosomal RNA". It matches the Rfam family "Bacterial small subunit ribosomal RNA", at positions 524 to 776 of the family's 1533-position model. The record is from RNAcentral.